AGUGAACGCUGGCGGUAGGCCUAACACAUGCAAGUCGAACGGCAGCACAGUAAGAGCUUGCUCUUACGGGUGGCGAGUGGCGGACGGGUGAGGAAUACAUCGGAAUCUACUUUUUCGUGGGGGAUAACGUAGGGAAACUUACGCUAAUACCGCAUACGCCCAACGGGGGAAAGAAGGGGAUCUUCGGACCUUGCGCGAUUGAAUGGGCCGAUGUCGGAUUAGCUAGUUGGCGGGGUAAAGGCCCACCAAGGCGACGAUCCGUAGCUGGUCUGAGAGGAUGAUCAGCCACACUGGAACUGAGACACGGUCCAGACUCCUACGGGAGGCAGCAGUGGGGAAUAUUGGACAAUGGGCGCAAGCCUGAUCCAGCCAUACCGCGUGGGUGAAGAAGGCCUUCGGGUUGUAAAGCCCUUUUGUUGGGAAAGAAAAGCAGCAGGUUAAUACCCCGCUGUUCUGACGGUACCCAAAGAAUAAGCACCGGCUAACUUCGUG
Molecule: ribosomal RNA, 492 nt
Filed under: uncultured bacterium
Lineage: Bacteria
Description: partial 16S ribosomal RNA
Rfam family: Bacterial small subunit ribosomal RNA
Source: RNAcentral